AUUGAACGCUGGCGGCAUGCCUUACACAUGCAAGUCGAACGGAUCAGAGGAGCUUGCUCUUCUGGUUAGUGGCGAACGGGUGAGUAAUGCAUCGGAACGUACCCAGUAGUGGGGGAUAACGUAGCGAAAGUUACGCUAAUACCGCAUACGACCUGAGGGUGAAAGCAGGGGAUCGCAAGACCUUGCGCUAUUGGAGCGGCCGAUGUCGGAUUAGCUAGUUGGGAGGGUAAAAGCCUACCAAGGCGACGAUCCGUAGCGGGUCUGAGAGGACGACCAGCCACACUGGGACUGAGACACGGCACAGGCCCCUACGGGCGGCAGCAGUGGGGAAUUUUGGACACUUGGGGAAACCCUGAUCCAGCCAUGCCGCGUGAGUGAAUAAGGCCUUCGGUUUGUAAGCUCUUUCAGACGGAAAGAAAUCUUCCGGGCUAAUACCUCGGGAGGAUGACGGUACCGUAAGAAGAAGCACCGGCUAACUACGUGCCAGCCGCCGCCGUAA
This 499-nucleotide ribosomal RNA is filed under the name uncultured bacterium. RNAcentral's name for it is "partial 16S ribosomal RNA". It matches the Rfam family "Bacterial small subunit ribosomal RNA", at positions 30 to 523 of the family's 1533-position model. The record is from RNAcentral.